RNAcentral lists this ribosomal RNA (468 nucleotides) under uncultured bacterium. RNAcentral describes it as "partial 16S ribosomal RNA". It matches the Rfam family "Bacterial small subunit ribosomal RNA", at positions 28 to 507 of the family's 1533-position model. The record is from RNAcentral.
GACGAACGCUGGCGGCGUGCUUAACACAUGCAAGUCGAACGGAAAGGCCCUGCUUUUGUGUGGUGCUCGAGUGGCGAACGGGUGAGUAACACGUGAGUAACCUUCCCUUUACUUUGGGAUAACUUCAGGAAACUGGGGCUAAUACCGGCUAGGAGCUCCUGCUGCAUGGUGGUGGUUGGAAAGUUUCGGCGGUUGGGGAUGGACUCGCGGCUUAUCAGCUUGUUGGUGGGGUAGUGGCUUACCAAGGCUUUGACGGGUAGCCGGCCUGAGAGGGUGACCGGCCACAUUGGGACUGAGAUACGGCCCAGACUCCUACGGGAGGCAGCAGUGGGGAAUAUUGCACAAUGGGCGGAAGCCUGAUGCAGAAACGCCGCGUGCGGGAUGACGGCCUUCGGGUUGUAAACCGCUUUAGCCUGUGACGAAGCGUGAGUGACGGUAAUGGGUAAAGAAGCACCGGCUAACUACGUG